This 414-nucleotide long non-coding RNA is filed under the name Homo sapiens (human). RNAcentral describes it as "HSALNT0121314". The record is from RNAcentral. Lineage: Eukaryota; Metazoa; Chordata; Mammalia; Primates; Hominidae.
GUCUGGACAGAGAGUGAGCCUGGCUCAUUCAGACCCUGGGCACCAUUCAGAGCAGAACUCAGUGGUAUAGACACGUGUGGCCGUUUACGCUGUAGGAUCCUCAUUCCCACUGGCUUUGAACAUUUUGGGGACUUACAAUGCCGCCACCCGCGGACAUCGUCAAGGUGGCCAUAGAAUGGCCGGGCGCCUACCCCAAACUCAUGGAAAUUGAUCAGGGCUGUAGGUUCUGCCUGAGGUUGCCACCAUUAACUUAAUGGGACAUUUUUUGAGACUCAGAAGCCACGUCCCUCCACUACCUGCUGGCAGAUGUCUCAUCAUGUCCAUUGCCACUCAAGAAAGGAGGAUGAAUUGCCAUUAGUACAUCCACUCAAAAGCACGCAGACCAACUAGUAGCAAAGAGAGACAAGAAGUACA